RNAcentral lists this ribosomal RNA (440 nucleotides) under uncultured bacterium. RNAcentral's name for it is "partial 16S ribosomal RNA". It matches the Rfam family "Bacterial small subunit ribosomal RNA", at positions 338 to 795 of the family's 1533-position model. The record is from RNAcentral.
ACUACGGGUGGCUGCAGUAGGGAAUUUUGCGCAAUGGGCGAAAGCCUGACGCAGCAACGCCGCGUGAUCGAGACGCCCUUCGGGGUGUAAAGAUCCUUCAGUCGGGACGAAACUUGACGGUACCCACAGAGGAAGCACCGGCUAACUCCGUACCAGCAGCCGCGGUCAUACGGGGGUGGCAAGCGUUGUCCGGAGUCACUGGGCGUAAAGAGUUCGUAGGCGGCACUGAAAGUCCGGUGUGAAAGGCAGAGGCUCAACUUCGGGACGGCACUGGAUACUUGCGGGCUGGAAUGCGGUAGAGGUAGGGGGAAUUCCUGGUGUAGCGGUGAAAUGCUUAGAUAUCAGGAGGAACAUCGGUGGCGUAGGCGCUUUACUGGGCCGUAAUUGACGCUGAGGAACGAAGGCCAGGGUAGCAAAUGGGAUUAGAUACCCGGGUAGUC